CAAAAAAGGAUUAUGCAUCAAACAACGAAAUGGGCUACUUCUUAGAAAAAGUCCAUCUACCUUUGGACAAGUUGAGCGAAGUGCCACUUGUAGAUUGUCAGCAAUGUUUAUCGCGACUCGAAGCAUCUUCGCAUCUUUUACCAAAAACGAGAUAUUCUUCAGUCCAGAGAGCUUAUCUUGAAACUGUCUCUUGAGUGUCGCAAGAGUGCCGGGUUCUAUACUGGUGAGGUGAAAUUGUUUGCAGACAAAGACUGAUUGCUUCCAAGUGCUUGCAAGUCCGGUGGUGAUCCCUCUGGAGUUACGUCUGGAGUUCAGGUGGAUCUACUGUUUUCUUUAUGGAAGUUGGUGGAUUGAUUAGCAAACCGUCAGUAUCUAGUGUAAUGAAGAUGCUCUCUCGAUAGGCCAAAGGCAAGCUCGAAAAUUGCCACUUGGAAAAGAAAUUAAAGAUCGCAAAGAAAUGCUUGCAUGGAAAAGUGGAUUGCCUCCAAGAUUCGCAUGUGCAGCUCGGAAAUGAGAAUUGAACCAGAGCAUUGAUUGGCGAAGCUUGGUUAACUCGUCGUUAUACUGCGCCUCUGUUGCAACUCUGCCAAUUGUUGUCAUUGAUUUCUGGAGAAACUCUUGCUCACUCUGAUCAAGCCCGUUUUUCCCCAAUCUGACCCAACGCUGGAUUGCCUGCUGACGGUGGAAAUCACAGAUAUAUGCAAUAACACCAGGAAAGCACAUUUCGAUCGCCCCAAUUUCAGGGGCUGAAAAAUCCACCAUAAAGUAUUUUGGACUCCAGUCCCGGUUCCAUCCUCGCAAGAUCCCCAAGGCUUCGGAUAUGGAAAUUUCGUCCUCGUGUUGACACAUAAACUCAGCAACUACUUUGUAGCCAACGUUGGUGUUUACGCACAAGAAGAACAACGGCAUGGCAUAUUUCGUGGUUUUGUACGUCGCGUCAAGGAGGACAAGAUCGCUUCCAUAUUUCAGAAGAAGUUUUCGUUGCCACUCUUCGUGAUGAACAAAAAAAAAAUUAUCGCUCUCGUUAGUGGGCACGCUGGCACCAAAAUAGUUCGGUUCGCCCUCUUGGGUUCGCAGGAAGAAUCUUGUACAUGGCGAAGACUUUUUUAAAUCAGUUAUUUUUCGAAGAAGAGACUCUUGGUCAUCGUUGCAGUAUUUUCCAGCGGCAAUAGCUUUUGAAAUAUGAUUUCGUAGGUCAUUGGAACUCGGAUAGUAUCUGCGAUUUGUUUUCCUUGGCCACGUGUGUUUCGGAGCACCAGAAAGUAGCUCUUUUUCCACGAAUUCGUGCAGACAUCGUUUAACCUCCUUUACACCAGUGACAUUUUUCUUUGCGAGAUCAUAGAUUCGUUCGAUGAUUCUUUUGUGAAUUACUUGGUUUACCGACGAACUUUCUCCAACUGGAUGCCCUGAAUGCUCCUUGCUUAAAGGGAUUUUCAAGUAGUGUCGUGUAGAUGUCUUUAACGCCUCAUUUGAACCCAGUUUUUUUUUAAGCUCUUCUGGCGUUUUCUCUUUGGCCAUUCGGAUGCUGUUAGGAGUAGGCAAAUCAUUUGGUAAUUCAAAUUCGUCGAAUACUUCAAUAUGCCGUAGUUGUACAGCAACCGAACAAUUUAGUUUUCGCGUUCCUUGUAAUUUUAUUCGACGAUUCCUUCCAUAGUUGUGCUCGUGUACAGGCUUUGGCUUCCAACUACCUCUCGCAUCCUAUAUAUAGACUUUGGUAAUGAAAAAAAAAAUAAUUGUGUAAAAAAUAAUUGUAAAAAAAUGCGUUGUACCUUUUCAGAACCAUGUAAACAGUGUCUGAUCUCUGCUCCAACGAUCACAAAAGGAUUCCAAAAAUCG
Molecule: long non-coding RNA, 1836 nt
Organism: Dendronephthya gigantea
Lineage: Eukaryota; Metazoa; Cnidaria; Anthozoa; Malacalcyonacea; Nephtheidae
Exons: 3
Source: RefSeq, a predicted model, not a curated record